Non-coding RNA from Poecilia reticulata (guppy), 1719 nucleotides. The record is from RefSeq and is a predicted model, not a curated record. Lineage: Eukaryota; Metazoa; Chordata; Actinopteri; Cyprinodontiformes; Poeciliidae.
GUGUAAUCACCAGUCAAACUGCUCUUUGCCCUCUUCACCAAGUAAUGUAACUUCCUGUUUGCUCUUCAAAACCGAAACUUGAAAAGAAAAAUCCUCCGCCGCCAUUUCCUUUUCUGUAUCGCCAGCAGUAUAGAUUCAUAUUUUUGCGUGAACUGCCACGGGCCUGUCUUUCGGAGCAACAAGUUGUGCUGAAGGCAGACGGGGAAAGUUUGUCAGGAUUUUUUAAGACUCUGUUUUAAGAAUCUGCCUGUGGCUGCGCUCUCCUCUCACAGAGACAGUCCAGCGGUGCUGACGCAGAGUGAGCAGACAUGACUGUCGCAGAGCUGCUUCUGGACUGUCUGCAACAGUUGAAUAAGGACGAAUUCAGGAUUUUUAAGUGGCAUCUGAAGCAGCACAAGCUGGAAGGUUACAAGCCGAUUGCUCCGUUUUAUCUAGAGGAUGCUGAGCGGACCGAAACAGUAAGUAAGAUGAUAGCGAACUAUACAGAAGACGUUGCUGUGACAGUUGCUGUGGCCGUCCUGAAGAAACAACAAAUGAAUGAUCUUGCACAGAAGCUGUCGAUAGCACAUCAAGCACAGAAAAAUUGAGUACUGUGUCCUCCACCACUUCCUCUUUCGAAACCGCACCUGAAACCUCACCUGCGGCCGCGCCUCCUGCAGCUGUAGCCGCGCCGCCUGCAGCCGUAGCCAUGCCGAAUACAAGUCCCUCAUUGGUAGCUCAGGAGGGAAGUGUGAUCUUUGCUCCAAUCAUCAGCAGUAGUGAACCCGGAACAUGGAACGUAACUCUUAGCAAAAACUAAUGACACUGAUGUCAUACAGUAGAACUACGUGAACCGCAGCCUGUUUCUAGUACUGUAUUACAAUGGCUUUAUUGUACUUUCUUCUUUUUUUUUUCUGCAAUUUUCAUUUUAUUUUCAGAGGUGUGAUAGUUAAGCGACUGUCGCCUCAUCGCACAAGUUCCACAGGAAAUGAACAGAGACUCGCAGAGGGACAGAAAGAAUCCUGAACCAGUUGAGUCUUUGGUACACUGGUUCACUUCCUGCUCUGCUGUAUCUCAUCAGUUCAACUGUCUCCUUUUCAGAGAGAUCCACUCUGACCUUGUUUUGUAAAUAUGUCUAUUUACAAAGAAGCCAAGUAUGUGAUUUUCGUUUUAUUUUUUAUUUUUACUUCAGAGGUAUUUCAUCCAUGAUGUCUGCCCAUUCUGCUGAUGCUCUUCUUAGGCUGCAGAUAUCAUUAUUUUAGUUAUAAAAGAUGUUUAUUGGCAUUCCCAAAUAAUAAAGUCUGAUAUCUACAAUAAAUGUUUCAAAAUGUUUGGGUAUCUUCCUAUGAAACAGAAAGGUAUGAUCAAACUGAAAGUUAUGGCUCUUAUGAAGGAUUUAUUUUAUGCUGAUUUAAUGGAGCUUCAGUGGAAAGAAAACACUGAUGUCUUAUCUAGGAAGUGAUUCUUUUUUCAUAUUGUGCUGACGAAUAAUUUUUAUUUUUCACUCUUUCGUCUGUAUUACCAGUUGACUUAAGAUUAGCAAAUGUUUGAGAAAUUUAUAUUGCUGAAUAUUUGCCUGUCUUUCACAACUUUGUGAUAUGUUCAUUGCAAUAAUGACCAUAUCACAAAUAUUAAACAUUUUAAAUUUGCAACUGCCGUGUUGUUGUUGGUUACUAUGCAACCCAAAAAGACAACAAAACUAGUCAUUUACAUUUUGUCUGUCUCCUUUAUUUUGCGUUU